GUAAACUUUUACUUUGCAUUAAACAAGACUCAGAGGAUAAAACAUAUAAUAAUAAGUCUAGAAAUAAAUCACAAGCCCAAACCAGUUUCAAAAUAAAUCAACCCAAAUAUAAAUCAAUCCAGCUCAAAACACAAUCAGGAAACCUUAGCCUAGUAAAGAACAGAGCCAUCUUUACAUUCCAGCGCCGCCGUCCACCUCCCUGCUCUGAGCUAGAAAUGCCAGAAGAAAUAUUUGAGAACCCAUCGCCUUAAAUAAGAAAAAAUAGCUACUGCACAAAGACCAUCAAAGGGUCUCAAUAAAACUAGCAAAGGGUCUCCUUUUCCAUGCUUCAGAACCGUUGACUAGUCGGGAAGGGUGGCGCCGCAAACUCACUGGUCUCUCAUUCUCUUUUAGCCUGGGGAUCAACCUUCAAACAGAGAGGAAGAGGUGUGUACCCCUAGAAUAGCCGACGUCCCUACAAAGCUUUAAGGCUCCUCCCUUCAGGCAAACGACACUGAGCUAAAACCACCUAGCUCUUAGAUCACUAAUCUACUUCAGGCAACCCUCCCUUUGAAAACUUUAGAGAUUGCCAAACAAAACCCAAAACAAUUAUCAAUAACACCAAGUCAGGAUGGGGAGGGAACCCACACCCAACCGAUGAGAACGAUUUUCUUCCCCUACUCAAAGGAUAGAAGAAGCUAUGUAAAAAAACACGGUGAAUUCGAGAGAUAACCUAAAAAAAAAAAAAGAAUGAAAUUUAGAAUGAAAUUUGGCAAUAUUGCAUUUGAUAGUCCAUGAAAAAUAGUGGAAAAAGAAUGAAAUUUAGAAUGCAAUGCAGCACGCUUAAAACAGAAACAUAGAAAAUCUUAAGUAUACGUACAGCGGAAGAAUGGAAAAUGCCAGGUAAUAAGGUCAUCAUUCCAAUGAUUUGGCAAGUAUCGUUUGAUUGCUGGCAACAAUGUUGCCGAAAGUGCAAUGAUUCCAAGCGCGAAAAAGUAGCAUGUCAAC
Molecule: unclassified non-coding RNA, 987 nt
Filed under: Hevea brasiliensis (rubber tree)
Lineage: Eukaryota; Viridiplantae; Streptophyta; Magnoliopsida; Malpighiales; Euphorbiaceae
Source: RNAcentral